RNAcentral lists this long non-coding RNA (1826 nucleotides) under Callithrix jacchus (white-tufted-ear marmoset). RNAcentral describes it as "lncRNA (ENSCJAG00000076326.1)". The record is from RNAcentral. Lineage: Eukaryota; Metazoa; Chordata; Mammalia; Primates; Cebidae.
AUAAUAAAAUCAGGAAUAAAAAAAAAAAAGAAGAGCGGCCCGGGCCGCUCCAGCUCUCCUCCUCCCACCCCUCUGCCCACCCUCUCCCCCUCUCCCCGGCCCCCAGCCCCGAACCCCGCGCACCUCGUCAGGGGACGGGGCGCGGGGGGGGGGGGCGGGGGGGGGGUGGGCAGGGCCGCCUCUCCUCCCCGCCCCCUCCUCCUCCGGCCUCUGGAGCGAUUUGUCAAACUUCCCAUUCCGCCGGCAGCGCGGUCCUCCUCUUCCUCCUCCUCCUCCUCCUCCUCCUCCUUCUCUGCCUCCUCCUCCCCCCUGCGCUCCUCCCUCCGCGAGCCUCCCUCGCCCGCCCUCCUUCUUCCCUCCGCACGUUCGGGGUUCGCGGCGGAGCGCGGCGCGGGGGGGACGCAGAGAGCCUGGGCGCAGCAGCAUCCUGCGGGUGGCGGCUCUCCGGAGGAGGGGAGGCUGAGAGCAGGCCCGCCUCGUCCCCCCCGCGGGCCCGCCGCCCCUCCCUCCCUGUCCUCAGCCCGGCAGCGGCGGCGGCGGCAGUGGCAGUCGCCAGAGAAGCAUCAUGACGGGGAGGAAGCAGCAGGCGCCCCGGCGCAGCAGAUGGGAGGGCAUUCUCAGCACGUGGCUUUCGCUGUUAUGGCUGCACUGAAUAAAAGCAAGCAGCUCCAGCUGUCCGAGGCUGCUCUCUUUGGCCACUGGAGCUGGCAGCCCCCUAGCUGGUCUUACACUGUAUACCUGUGUCUGAGUACUCCUUUCAUCUGUCACUUGGCCAGGGUCUGUGGGACAGACCCAGCAACUCUGCAGGCUGGAAAGUGCAAGACCAAGUUGCGGACAGAUUUAGUGUCUGGUUAAAGCCCUCUUUCCGGUUGGCCAGUGGCUGUCUUUUUGUUGUAUCCUCACUUGGCAGAGAAAGGGUUGGGAGGAAGGAGAGCAUGAUAAUCUCCUUUUACGAAUACACUAAUCCCAUCCUGGGGGCUCCGCCCUCAUGAUCUCAUCUAAACUUAACUACCAGCCAGUGGCCCCACCUCCAUGUACCAUCAGAGUGGAGGUUAGGGUUUCAAUAUAUGAAUUUGGGGUUGCAGUCCUUAACAAUUGCUUACAACAUUUCAACAGUGGCUGAGCAUGGUGGCUCAUGCCUGUAGUCUCAGCACUUUGGGAGGCCGAGGUGGGAAGAUUACUUGAGCGUAGGAGUUUUAGACUAUCUCAGGCAACAUAGUGACACUCUGCCUCAAAAAAAAACAAAGAAGAAAAGAAGACAGGUAGAGAGAGAGAAGAAAGAAAUAAAGAAAGAAAGAGAAAGAAAGAAAAGAAAGAAAGAAAAAGAAAGAAAGAAAGAAGAAAGAAAAGAAAGAAAGAAAGAAGAAAGAAAAGAAGAAAAGAAAGAAAAGGUGAGAGGGUGGGAGGGAGGGAGGGAAGGAAGGAAGGGAGGGAGGGAGGGAGGGAGGGAAGGAGGGGAGGAAGGAAGGAAGGAAGGGAGGGAGGGAGGGAGGGAGGGAGGGAGGGAAGGAAGGAAGGAAGGAAGGAAGGAAGGAAGGAAGGAAGGAAAUCUCAACAAGGACAUUUUCCAGUCUGCCUUUCACAUCAGGAUUCUCAAGCACUUUACCAGAUUAUGCAUAGGGCCAUUUCACUGUUCACUGUAUUAGUUAUUCAAACAGAGCUUUGGGUAUGUCAAGGUACCUGCAGGGUACCAUCCAACAAAGCUCUGACAUCCCUAUGCAAAUAGUCAAACAAAUUUGUCCUUGGAAACUUUUUGGCUGCCACACAGUUCAGUCCCCAGGUAUUUGUCCUGGGGUCUCCCAUGUAAGCUAUUCUCUAGUAAGCCC